Molecule: long non-coding RNA, 174 nt
Organism: Melanotaenia boesemani (Boeseman's rainbowfish)
Lineage: Eukaryota; Metazoa; Chordata; Actinopteri; Atheriniformes; Melanotaeniidae
Exons: 3
Source: RefSeq, a predicted model, not a curated record
AGGUGCCAACAGUGAUGGAGACGUGUCUUAGCUGCCAGUCCUUAAUGCCACUUUGUGACUUGGCUGACCAUAUCCUGGAGUGUACAGGAAAAGAAGAAUCAAGGAAUGAUGAAGACUACAUGGAUGAUGACCUGGCUGUGGCUAUACAGCAGUCUUUAGAGCUCAGUUAAUUUA